GCAGUCGUGGCCGAGUGGUUAAGGCGAUGGUCUAGAAAUCCAUUGGGGUCUCCCCGCAGACGUUCGAAUCCUGUCAACUGCG
RNAcentral lists this transfer RNA (82 nucleotides) under Ixodes scapularis (black-legged tick). It matches the Rfam family "tRNA". From Rfam's summary of the family: Transfer RNA (tRNA) molecules are approximately 80 nucleotides in length. Their secondary structure includes four short double-helical elements and three loops (D, anti-codon, and T loops). Further hydrogen bonds mediate the characteristic L-shaped molecular structure. tRNAs have two regions of fundamental functional importance: the anti-codon, which is responsible for specific mRNA codon recognition, and the 3' end, to which the tRNAs corresponding amino acid is attached (by aminoacyl-tRNA synthetases). tRNAs cope with the degeneracy of the genetic code in two manners: having more than one tRNA (with a specific anti-codon) for a particular amino acid; and 'wobble' base-pairing, i.e. permitting non-standard base-pairing at the 3rd anti-codon position. The record is from Rfam by way of RNAcentral. Lineage: Eukaryota; Metazoa; Arthropoda; Arachnida; Ixodida; Ixodidae.